This 350-nucleotide transfer-messenger RNA is filed under the name Rhodospirillaceae bacterium. It matches the Rfam family "Alphaproteobacteria transfer-messenger RNA". Rfam says of the family: Bacterial tmRNA, also known as 10Sa RNA or SsrA, is named for its dual tRNA and mRNA-like properties. The record is from RNAcentral. Lineage: Bacteria; Pseudomonadati; Pseudomonadota; Alphaproteobacteria; Rhodospirillales; Rhodospirillaceae.
UGGGUUUGCAAGCGGCUCACUUGCGCCUAUAUUGGGCGUGCCGCGCAAGCGGCUAUGGCGCUAAACCUAUUGUGAAAUAAGCAUAACGGACCCGGGGGCAGUGCCCGGCGCCUCCACCAUCUCUUCCCGCCGCCACCGAUUGCGGGACGUCACGGGGGCGAAACAGGCUCGACGUGUGCAGUAAAGACAGUAGUUGUUCCCGGCAUGGUACCACCGUCAUCGGGCCAUUUGUAAAAGUGCCAACGACAACGUUGCACUCGUUGAGGACGUUCGUCUCGCUGCCUAACGGCCGCUAGACUAAAUGUCCAAAGCGCGGUUCGGAGGGCACCGGGCAACAGAAGCCCUCCACU